AUGGGAGGGGGCUUGCUCCCGAUAGCGGAGUGCCAGUCAGAGAGAUUUGGACGGGUCCACCUAUAUCGGGAGCAAGCCCCCUCCCAC
RNAcentral lists this unclassified non-coding RNA (87 nucleotides) under Pseudomonas grimontii. Lineage: Bacteria; Pseudomonadati; Pseudomonadota; Gammaproteobacteria; Pseudomonadales; Pseudomonadaceae. The record is from RNAcentral.